UGGCGGCAGCUUACACAUGCAGUCGAGCGGGGAGAGUAGCUUGCUACUUUACCUAGCGGCGGACGGGUGAGUAAUGCUUAGGAAUCUGCCUAUUAGUGGGGGACAACAUCUCGAAAGGGAUGCUAAUACCGCAUACGUCCUACGGGAGAAAGCAGGGGACCUUCGGGCCUUGCGCUAAUAGAUGAGCCUAAGUCGGAUUAGCUAGUUGGUGGGGUAAAGGCCUACCAAGGCGACGAUCUGUAGCGGGUCUGAGAGGAUGAUCCGCCACACUGGGACUGAGACACGGCCCAGACUCCUACGGGAGGCAGCAGUGGGGAAUAUUGGACAAUGGGGGGAACCCUGAUCCAGCCAUGCCGCGUGUGUGAAGAAGGCCUUUUGGUUGUAAAGCACUUUAAGCGAGGAGGAGGCUACCGAGAUUAAUACUCUUGGAUAGUGGACGUUACUCGCAGAAUAAGCACCGGCUAACUCUGUGCCAGCAGCCGCGGUAAUACAGAGGGUGCAAGCGUUAAUCGGAUUUACUGGGCGUAAAGCGCGCGUAGGUGGCCAAUUAAGUCAAAUGUGAAAUCCCCGAGCUUAACUUGGGAAUUGCAUUCGAUACUGGUUGGCUAGAGUAUGGGAGAGGAUGGUAGAAUUCCAGGUGUAGCGGUGAAAUGCGUAGAGAUCUGGAGGAAUACCGAUGGCGAAGGCAGCCAUCUGGCCUAAUACUGACACUGAGGUGCGAAAGCAUGGGGAGCAAACAGGAUUAGAUACCCUGGUAGUCCAUGCCGUAAACGAUGUCUACUAGCCGUUGGGGGCCUUUGAGGCUUUAGUGGCGCAGCUAACGCGAUAAGUAGACCGCCUGGGGAGUACGGUUCGCAAGACUAAAACUCAAAUGAAUUU
Molecule: ribosomal RNA, 879 nt
Filed under: Acinetobacter lwoffii
Lineage: Bacteria; Pseudomonadati; Pseudomonadota; Gammaproteobacteria; Moraxellales; Moraxellaceae
Description: bacterial SSU rRNA
Rfam family: Bacterial small subunit ribosomal RNA
Source: RNAcentral